This 450-nucleotide ribosomal RNA is filed under the name uncultured bacterium. RNAcentral describes it as "partial 16S ribosomal RNA". It matches the Rfam family "Bacterial small subunit ribosomal RNA", at positions 330 to 794 of the family's 1533-position model. The record is from RNAcentral.
CCCAGACUCCUACGGGAGGCAGCAGUGGGGAAUAUUGGGCAAUGGGCGCAAGCCUGACCCAGCAACGCCGCGUGAAGGAAGAAGGCUUUCGGGUUGUAAACUUCUUUUGUCAGGGACGAAGCAAGUGACGGUACCUGACGAAUAAGCCACAGCUAACUACGUGCCAGCAGCCGCGGUAAUACGUAGGUGGCAAGCGUUAUCCGGAUUUACUGGGUGUAAAGGGCGUGUAGGCGGGGAAGCAAGUCAGAUGUGAAAACCACGGGCUCAACCUGUGGCCUGCAUUUGAAACUGUUUUUCUUGAGUGCUGGAGAGGCAAUCGGAAUUCCGUGUGUAGCGGUGAAAUGCGUAGAUAUUAGGAGGAACACCAGUGGCGAAGGCGACUUUCUGGACAGUAACUGACGUUGAGGCACGAAAGUGUGGGGAGCAAACAGGAUUAGAUACCCCAGUACU